Lontra canadensis (Northern American river otter) is the source of this 934-nucleotide long non-coding RNA. RefSeq lists it as uncharacterized. Lineage: Eukaryota; Metazoa; Chordata; Mammalia; Carnivora; Mustelidae. The record is from RefSeq and is a predicted model, not a curated record. The transcript has 4 exons.
GUGUGGUAUUAUGCUUUUUAUUCUUAUUAUUGAAGAAUUAUCUAUGUGUGUUUCUUAAUUUUCAAGGAGUUCAGGAAAAGAAAUACUCACCUUUUACAUUCAGUUCCUCAUGGCAAGUUGAAGGAUGAGGAAGAGAAAAUUAAGGUGGAUCAAGAAUGUGCUCAGAAUCUCGUCUGAAGUUUUCUGCAUCAGUAACUGAGGAGCAAAGGAAAUCUACCCAGUGGCCCUCCAGCAGAUUUCUCCAUGUAUCUAACUGGCCACAACAUUGCCUCCCUACAUUUAAUGGAUAUUGAGAAAGAUGUUAGGAGACAAGCACACAGAGGGAACACUGUGGAAGCAAACAGACUGAUCUGAAUUCAGAUUGCAUACCUGCAUUAGAAAGCCCUCCUCGCUGGGUGAUUUUCUCUAUGGCGGUCUUCAGAUCCCGGGAAUUCAUGAAAUGAUUCCCCUGUGAGCGUUAAGAAGCAAGAAGAAUGCCAGUCAGAAAUGGUCCCCUGUGAUCCCGAGGAAGGCUCGGCACCUGGGGAACAGGGCACGGAGACGGAUGUCAUUGUGUCCAGGCCUCCCUGAAGGUGAAAUUCACCUGAGGCACCUGUUCAAGUCCUGAGACACCAGAUCUCAUCCUGGCAGCAGCUCACAUCAGUAGGUCUGUACUAGAGGUGGGCAUCUUUGUUUGUUUGUUUUAAACAAGGGAUCCAGGUGAAUCCUAUCCUCAGCAAAGUUGGGGAAGCUCUGGAGUCUGGAAGACUUCUACGGUCCCUUCAGUUAAAGCCCCAGGGGCUCCUGCGUUGCCCGGGUACUUGGAGCCACACUGUGUGAGCCUCUCACGCAAGUUCCUCGGCCAGCAGAGACAUACUGAUGGCUCAGAUCUCCUGUGGUGCCAGCUUUUCAAAAUGGUUUCCUCCCACAAGGCAUCACCUGAGGUUACAAUAAA